Molecule: long non-coding RNA, 800 nt
Filed under: Olea europaea subsp. europaea
Lineage: Eukaryota; Viridiplantae; Streptophyta; Magnoliopsida; Lamiales; Oleaceae
Source: RNAcentral
CUUCUCUUUGGCAAUUUUAAACGUAAAAUUUUCAUCUUCUUUUCCGUCUCUCGCCCAUCUAUCUCCUCUCCUUCUCCACUCUCUCUUUGUCGACGACAUAGCCGCUUGCCACCGUUGCGAGAAGUAGCCAAUACCCAUCAUUGUUGUCGUGUGCCACCACCGCCUUUGCUCUAUCUUCUCCAUUCUCUAUUUGUUAACGAUGACAAUGGCCUUUUUCAGUCGCCUUUAGCAGCUCAAAAGGACACCACGCUGCUCACAAGCUGUGUCCUUGCAAGCUGCUAGGAACUCCGAUAAAGCAGCUGAUUGGAGAAGCCACUAUAAAAUGUUGGUGAUUAUUGUGAGUUUGGGGGUUUUGUUGGUGGGGUAGUGGCUGUGGCGUGGAAGAGUUGUAUAAGAUAGUGGAUUCUAGCAAACGAUUGUGGUGGUUGAUUGGAGUUGCAAAUGAAGGUGGAGGUGAUUGUUGAAGCAGGCGAUUAUGGGUGUAGGAUGUGAUGGUGCAGCAGUUCUUCUAUAUCGCACGGUCGCACGUCUAGUAGCGGAGUCACGAUUGUGGGCUGUAGUAUGUAGAUUUGAUAAGGCUGUGGUAAUGAUUAGUGAUGGCGACAGUAGCAGUGGGUUUGGAGAUUUUUUUGGUGGGUGUGAAGUGAUGGAGAUUGCGGUUGUGGUUUUUGGUACAGGAGGUGGUGUUGCUGUUGAUAAGUGUAUUUAUUACACUUAUCUGAGUCGUUAAAUUAGAGCAAUUAUUGUUAUUUUAAAUGAAUUGAGAUGAAAUAUUUUACUAUUUAUUUUUAAUUCAAGAC